This 220-nucleotide long non-coding RNA is filed under the name Elaeis guineensis (African oil palm). RNAcentral's name for it is "long non-coding RNA (EGUI_LNC051430)". The record is from RNAcentral. Lineage: Eukaryota; Viridiplantae; Streptophyta; Magnoliopsida; Arecales; Arecaceae.
GACCCCUCCCAGACUCCUACAAAGGCCGAACUCUGACUACUGUCGAGCCAUGAUCAACAGAUCCGUGUCCUUUGGCAGAUAACAAUAACUGCCAUGAUCCUGUUCCACUUCCUGUAGCGGAUUCCACGCGGCUCCACCUCCCCCUGCGACAGGUGCUGCACGAUCCCACUACCUUCUGACAGGCUGUGUCAACAGCUAUGAUGCUGCUCCGCUCCCUGCG